RNAcentral lists this ribosomal RNA (459 nucleotides) under uncultured bacterium. RNAcentral describes it as "partial 16S ribosomal RNA". It matches the Rfam family "Bacterial small subunit ribosomal RNA", at positions 338 to 795 of the family's 1533-position model. The record is from RNAcentral.
CCUACGGGCGACAGCAGUGAGGAAUAUUGGUCAAUGGUCGAGAGACUGAACCAGCCAAGCCGCGUGAGGGAGGAAGGUACACAGUAUCGUAAACCUCUUUUGUCAGGGAAAAAAACCUGGUACGCGUCCCCUUCUGCCUGUACCUGAAGAAUAAGCAUCGGCUAACUCCGUGCCAGCAGCCGCGGUAAUCCGGAGGAUGCGGGCGUUAUCCGGAUUUAUGGGGUUUAAAGGGUGCGCAGGCGGUCUGGUAAGUCAGCGGUAAAAGCCCGGGGCUCAACCCCAGCCCGCCGUUGAAACUGGCAGGCUUGAGUGCGAGAGAGGUAGGCGGAAUGCGCGGUGUAGCGGUGAAAUGCAUAGAUAUCGCGCAGAACACCGAUGGCGAAGGCAGCUUGCUGGACUGAAACUGACGCUGAGGCUCGAAAGCGUGGGUAUCGAACAGGAUUAGAUACCCGAGUAGUC